This 1381-nucleotide unclassified non-coding RNA is filed under the name Hevea brasiliensis (rubber tree). Lineage: Eukaryota; Viridiplantae; Streptophyta; Magnoliopsida; Malpighiales; Euphorbiaceae. The record is from RNAcentral.
ACCUGCACAUGCUCACCAAUCUCCUCCGCAUUUGGAUACAUUGCUGUGAGAAACUCGAGGCCCUUCCUGAUAGUAUGCACAAUCUCACAUCUCUUCAACAAUUGAGAUUACAUGAAUGUCCAGGCAUUGUAUGCUUGCCAAGAGAAGGGUUUCCCACUAAUCUAACAUCACUUGAACUCUCUAAUCUUAAGAUCUAUAAGCCAAUGUUGAAGUGGGGAUUGCACAGGAUUGCCAAUCUUAAACGACUCUCUAUCAUGGGUGGAUGUCUAGACAUGGUGUCCUUUCCACAUGAAUAUAUGCUGCCAACCAGCAUAACAAGGCUGACCAUUGGCGAUUUUCCCAGUUUGGAAUACUUAUCCUUCACCUCAAGUAGUUUUCAUAACUUCUCUUCUCUUGAAUAUUUGCGCGUCUCUCAUUGCCCAAAGCUCCUAUCCUUUCCUGAUGAAGGCCUUCCCAUCUCACUCCUGCAACUAUAUAUCUCUGGAUGUCCUUUGCUAAAACAGCGGUGCAAGAAAUACAAAGGACGAGAAUGGUUUAAGAUAGCUCACAUACCUUACGUUGAGAUAGAUGGGAGAUUUGUCUUUGACCCAGAAAACUGAAGAACAAUGAGCAGCAAAGGUUCCCACUUUGUAAUUGGUGACUUGUGCAACUAAAUUUACACAAGGAGGUGUUGGUUUCAGAAUUUUUCACUGCUUUUGGGUUUUAGCUUCAAAAAAUUUUGAGUAUUACAUAAGAAAUCUAAUAUAACUAAUCUGUAUUGGCCUCGGUUGUUUUGGUAUCUGAUUCUAGAGUUGUUGUAGGAAGCAUCUAAAAGCACGUAUGAAACUUCUAGUUCAAAAUUCGAGCGGCUUCUUCCGCGAAUAAUGUGAUUUAUGUGAUUCUUUAUUCAUUUCGGUUUUGCUUUCUGUUAUUCUACAGGGCAAUUUUUGAUUACCUAACUCGUGAUCUUCCUUGCAAGUUGUCAUCUGAUUAUGUUUUUAUCACAUCUGGUUUCACACAAGCUAUUGAUGUUGCUUUGGCAAUGCUUGUUCUUCCUGGUGCAAAUAUCUCAUCUUCCCUAUUUAUGAACUUGGUGCUACGUUUAGUUUCUUGGAGUUAGACACUUUGAUCGUUGAUCUUGAUGCAAUUGAAGUUCUUGCAUAUCAGAAUACUGUAGCAUUGGUUAUCUUAAACCCAGGAAUCCCUAUGAAAAUGUAUGCUCUUAUCAACAUAUAAAAGAGGUUAGUGGUUCAGGAAUUACAUUCAAGUGCCAUUAGGUUAGAUUGUAUGAUUUGUACGUCCAAGACAAUGAGUCAUUUAGUUGCUUAUUGAAUUUGGACUGCAGAGUAGAAAGCUAAAAAUUCUUGUUAUUGCUGAUGAUGUGGACGCGACUAAUCCAUUU